Molecule: long non-coding RNA, 2008 nt
Filed under: Equus caballus (horse)
Lineage: Eukaryota; Metazoa; Chordata; Mammalia; Perissodactyla; Equidae
Description: lncRNA (ENSECAG00000046644.1)
Source: RNAcentral
GUUGGAUGAGCGUGUGGUCAAAAGUUCAUCACCAAAAUGUUUAUUAUUAAUAAUGAGGUUAUAAGCUUCAAAGCCAAUGCGGUGCUACUGGCUCCCAUGGAAGCCAUUUUUUCAAUUUGUUCUCAUUUAAUUACGAGUAGGUACAGUAAUUGGAAACAGGCUCUCUCCCAUGGGCAAGGUUGCAGGAAAUGGAAACCUCUAAUACCAUUCUGCCUGGGAAGAGUCAGCGUCCACAUCACGUGCAGCUGGGUCUCUCGCAAGGCCUGCCCCGCGGAGAAGGAAAAGAGCACAUUCUAGGAGAGGUCGAGGAUAAACUGAGGCUAUCCAGGCUGGUUUUUAUCAAGACUCACCGGAAGCCAUUCUUCCCUGAGGUCCUGCUGCCUCCUUGGAAAACAGACACAAGUCCUCUCUGCCCUCUGCUCCCACACACACCUGGCAAUGUUGCUGCUUCUCCAGGUUCAGCCUGCGGUGAGGGAAGCCAAGCCCCUCAUGGGGUCUCCCCACAUCUACACCUUCCCUGCAUCCCCUCCAACCCUCCCCCGUGCCUGCAGCCUGGAGAGUCUUUUUCUCAUCAGAGAUGGGGCGAGAGAGGGUCUUCCUGUCAUGCGUCUUAUUUCCUUCUAAAUAUUUUUCCUCUGAUAUGAGUCCUUUCUGUACCUGAAGGGUCUAGGCUAUUGAAACUUAAAGGCCAGGAAGAGAGUUCCUUUUCCCUCUCCUUUCUUCUAUCACAGGGAGGGGUAUGGAGAAAGACAGCACUCACACUGCUGAGGGAAGGGAGGGCCAAGAAGGCAAAAGAAAAAACAGUCAGCUCAUACUUUUAAAAUAUGAUCCUACCACACACUAAGAGACAGGCUCAGAGACGGGCAGCAUCUUGCCCAAAGAACAGAGCAAAUGCUUGUGGAUGAACUUGAACCAGAAAUUAGCAUCAAGAAUGUGAGAUAUGGGAGAAAAUUCAGACACCUUUUAAUCCAGUGGGUCCGGCUGUGAGUCAGAACCACCUGGUCUCACUCGGGGAAUCUGACUUUAACAAGAGCCCCAGGAAAUUGUUCAGUAGUAAUUCUGUCUCUUUGGAAAACAUUUUCCAGAUGAAGACAGUAAGGCCUAGAGAGACUAUGUUCUCACAGUUGUAAUUCAUAAUCUACCUAUUUCCAAAGAAAUUGAGGCUAUGUAUAACAAGUUCAUGGCCUCAAGACUAGAACAUGAUGCUUGGCUCCCAGCUCAGGGCUCCUUCUUCCAGAAACCAGCUUGUUGCCUAUCUUCCAUCCUGUCCACUCCUGCAAAGUGAAAAGUUUUAUCCAUUUUUUGCCAUUUGUAACCAAUUAAUUCCCCCAAAUUACCCAGAAGACCAUUAGGGUUGGGAGAGAAUUAGAAGCGCCUGUGGCCAGAGAUGGCUGCCAGGAGCAAGAAGUAUGUAAAUACAUAGUCAACAUCCAUCUACCCACCUACGGGGGGUGCAUGUUUGGGGCAAGCAGACUACAGAUAAUCCAAAAAUAUUAAUUUGACUGCUAAUUAAUUACUCGAUGAGUCCUAGGAAACAUUGGACAAUGUCAUUAACUUUUUUAAAUUUUGGUCAAGAAAUAAUAAUUGAAUACUCCUAUACACCCUCCCCCAUGCUCAGACUGGGGAAACAGGCGUGAAACUGUCAUCUAAGGCCCCUAGGCUCAGGGAAUUUACAUUUUUAUGGGAAGACAGGUCAAAACACAAGUAAACAUGAAAAUACAUGAAUUAAUCCUUAUAUGUGGAAAAUGACAUCAAGAAAGCAAGCAAAAGAUUGAGCUAGAAGAGGAGUUGGCAGACUUUUUCUAAAAACGGUCAGACGGUAAAUAUUUUACACUGUGUGGACCAUACCAUCUGAAUCACGACCAAGCAGCCAAAGUCAAUCCGCAAAGGAAUGGGGCUGGCCGUGUUCCAACACACUUUAUUUACAAAACCAGGCUGUGGUCAGUUGUGGCCCAUGUAGUUUGGUGACCCCUGAGCACGAUGCGUGCGGGGUGGAGGGUAGAGACCA